Cavia porcellus (domestic guinea pig) is the source of this 1952-nucleotide long non-coding RNA. NCBI's taxonomy places the organism in Eukaryota, Metazoa, Chordata, Mammalia, Rodentia, Caviidae. The record is from Ensembl.
GGAUUUCAGUAUGAAGUUUUAAGUCCAUUUUUCUUGCAUUUGUAAAAUAAGAAAUGAAGUGCUUUUUAAAUUUAAACAAUCUAAGGGACACUUAGUAUGAAGUUUUCUUACUCCAAAAUAACCUUUACCUUUUUUCCUUUCCCUAAUUUCAGGAACAGACCUUGGCCCUUAGGAAGGAAGGGAUUGGGGUGGUUUUGGAUUCUGAGCUGCCCCAUCUGAUUGGCAUCGAUGAUGACCUUCUGAGCACUGGAAUCAUCUUAUAUCACCUGAAGGAAGGUCAGACAUAUGUUGGAAGAGAAGAUGCUUCAAUGGAACAAGAUAUUGUUCUUCAUGGCCUUGACUUGGAGAGUGAGCACUGCAUCUUCGAAAACGUUGGGGGAACAGUGACGCUGAUACCCCUAAGUGGGUCCCAGUGCUCUGUAAAUGGUGUCCAGAUUGUGGAGGCCACGCACCUAAAUCAAGGUGCUGUGAUACUCUUGGGAAGAACCAAUAUGUUUCGUUUUAAUCAUCCAAAGGAAGCUGCCAAGCUCAGGGAGAAGAGGAAGAGUGGCCUUCUGUCCUCCUUCAGCUUGUCCAUGACUGACCUCUCGAAGUCCUGUGAGAACCUGUCCGCAGUCAUGUUGUACAACCCUGGUCUUUUCCCUGUAAAAGGACCCAUCUGUCUAAGACUUGAAUUUGAGCGACAACAGCGUGAAGAACUUGAAAAAUUAGAAAGUAAAAGGAAGCUGAUAGAAGAGAUGGAGGAAAAGCAGAAGUCGGACAAAGCAGCCCUGGAGCGCAUGCAGCAGGAGGUGGAGACACAGCGCAAGGAGACGGAAAUCGUCAAGCGGGAGAUUCGCAAGCAGGAGGAGAGCCUCAAGCGCCGUAGCUUCCACAUCGAGAACAAGCUCAAGGACCUGCUGGCUGAGAAGGAAAAAUUUGAGGAGGAGAGGCUGCGCGAGCAGCAGGAGAUUGAGCUGCAGAAGAGGAAACAGGAGGAAGAGAGCUUUCUCCGUUGGCUCCAGGAACUCAGCAGCAGUGAGCAGGCCGAGAAAAUGGAGAUAUUCCAGGAGCUGGGCCGGCUGCAGCGGGAAAAAGAUGAGCAGUGCACCAGGCUGGCUAUGGAGAAGCAGAGGCUGGAGGAGCAGGAGAAGGAGCAGGUGCUGCUAGUGGCCCAGCUGAAGGAGCAGCUGCGAGAGAGGGAGGAGCUGGCCCCCCUUCAGCGAAGCAUGGUCCUGCGGGCCCAGGAGGAGAAACAUGAGCUCGAGGGCAUCAGGGCAGUGCUGCUGCAGGCCAGGGAGGCGCCAGCUACAAGGGACAUGGGUGGCCAGGAGCCAGAAGCGGGCCAGCUGCGUUUCCUAGAGUUCAAGAGACGGCAGCUAAUCCAGCUAGCCACUGCAGAGCAGGAGCUGGCCCAGCAGGAACACCUCCUGAGUAAAGAAGUCCAGGAAGAGCAGGAAGUCCUGGAGCGCUUACAGUGUGAAAAAGACAUGGACUCCAGGUUGCUGGCAAAAAACGGUGGUAGUGGCCCAGGUAUCUCUCAGGUGGCUCACGAUUUAGAGAAAAUAAAGGCAGUAGAAUGCAGGCUGCGGUAUAAGGAACGCCAGCUAGAGGACCUCCUGCAAAAUCAGCUGCCAGCUCUGUUGGAAGAAAAGCAGAGGGCGCGUGAAGUCCUUGACCAGGGCCCACUCAGCUUGGACAACACUUUGUAUCAAGUGGAGAAAGAAAUGGAAGAAAAAGAAGAGCGGCUUGCCCAGCACCAAGCCCAUGCCCGCCAGCUGCAGCAGCUCCAGGCCACCUUCGAAUUCACCACUAAUGUUGCGAGACAAGAAGAGAAAGUGCGGAAAAAGGAGAAGGAGAUUCUAGAGUCCCAGGAGAAGCAGCAGAGAGAGGCACUGGAGCGGGCAGUGGCCAGGGCUGCAGCGCAGGCACUCAGCUUUGCAGCAAGGCCCUGCCCUGGGCCUGGAGGUUGA